This 76-nucleotide non-coding RNA is filed under the name Butyrivibrio proteoclasticus. Its description in RNAcentral is "c-di-GMP sequence". It matches the Rfam family "c-di-GMP-I riboswitch aptamer". From Rfam's summary of the family: GEMM was predicted in a large-scale screen for bacterial structured RNA regulatory elements. Genes associated with GEMM are involved in a diverse array of functions, including chemotaxis regulation, signal transduction, secretion and chitin. Lineage: Bacteria; Bacillati; Bacillota; Clostridia; Lachnospirales; Lachnospiraceae. The record is from RNAcentral. RNAcentral also lists the same sequence under 1 other name.
UUUGAUAUCGGGCAAAGCAAGCGAAAGCUUGUGGCGCAAAGCUAUAGGGACUUUAACAUGUCAGCCAGUUGCAUCU